Molecule: long non-coding RNA, 2205 nt
Organism: Lathyrus oleraceus (garden pea)
Lineage: Eukaryota; Viridiplantae; Streptophyta; Magnoliopsida; Fabales; Fabaceae
Exons: 2
Source: RefSeq, a predicted model, not a curated record
GGCAACUGAGUUUGAACCUUUAAAAUAUCCCUUGUAAACACCACCUUGGCCAAGCUUUUGUGUCUCUUCAAAGUUGUUUGUUGCAUUCAACAGCUCAUAAUAACUCAUCUUCUUAGUCCAACACUCAUUUGGAAUUCAUCAUCCAUAUCCAGAUCAGAUAAGAAUAUCUUCAUAAAAAUCAUAAUCUGGUUGGCUUGUACUAAAAGACCACGACAUCAGCAUAUGUUCCUCAUCUACAGUUCCUGUUGAAGCUGAUAUGCCAACAAUAACAUAUUCUGGUAAGUGCUCUCUUAGAUCAAUGAUGUGUGAAAAGUUUUGUGGCUCUUGCCCUUCAUUCAAUAUGUAUCUAGUGCUCUCUUACUUUACACCUGGUUGUAUCCAGAUUGUCGAAUUAAUUAAGAUCAGAUGAGCAGUGGCUUUCAUUUUCUACAGUUUAUAUGACUAAGGAAUCGGUUAUGAAAAAAUUGAAUUGGAAUCUUAUACUUGUAGCCAAUUUUAUCCUAUCAAUCUGCAGUUGAUCUAGUUAAAGGAAACAAAUUUGAACUAGGUUUGGUGGGGUGUGCCCGGCUAUUGCAAUAGUGCAACGCAAAAGCGACACUUAUGACUAAGGAAUCGGUUAUGAAAAAAUUGAAUUGGAAUCUUAUACUUGUAGCCAAUUUUAUCCUAUCAAUCUGCAGUUGAUCUAGUUAAAGGAAACAAAUUUGAACUAGGUUUGGUGGGGUGUGCCCGGCUAUUGCAAUAGUGCAACGCAAAAGCGACACUUGAGAGACCCAAUAGCAAGCUAUUGAAGUGGACUCUCCCCCUCAAGAAAUAAAUUUAAUAUCGUGUGAACCAUUGGCUCACAUAUCAGAUAUUAAACUGAUAAGAACAGAUACUACACUUGAUCUUAGCCAAAAGGCCGAGAAAGGUAUGAGUUGAAAUACAUGCUUGUUGUGUUUUUUAUAAUUGACAUCUGUUAUGUUUCUUACUUCACUAACCGAGGUGGGACUCUUAUGCAGCAAAUUAGAACAUUAGGUUUCGUAACUGCAAACUUGCUAUUAUAUCAUAAUACAAGUUGAAGAUCUCUACACUCUCAUUUCCUUCCUCUUGAUUCCAAAUAUUUUCACUUAGUGAGUAAACAUCAGGACCUUACUCACAUUUGACAGCAAAAUCUACUUUGCAAAUUAGCUUGUUUGCCUAUAAUAUUUUCUAUACUAGUGCUCCUAAUUGGUAGUUUGGUUGAAGUGAACACCAUUUUUAUGCCCACGUGUUUAUCAUUUAUUUAAGCAAAAUCAUUUCUAACAAUCACUGCCUUAGCCAAUUGUAGAAUAUGGAAGAACGACGUAUACACCAUAUUUUGUGACUGAAUCAAAAUGUUUGACAUACGAUAAAAUCUUCAGAUGCAAAUUGACAAUGCGGCGGGAAUAUGAUUUGAGGGAAGGCUUACUAUUAUACAAGUAAAACUACCAAAAUCAAAAAAUUGUUUUAUCUAUCUUUUUUCGUUUUUAUUUACAGUUUAUCUUCUUUUAUCUUGCCCUUGACAUUUCUGAGUGGCAUUAUAUUUUUCAACAUGCAAUAGAAAUUAAGUACAAUUUCUUCUCUAGAAUUAUUGUUUCACAUAUGUUAUUGUUGUGCAUUUUAUGAAAUUUAGUUUGCAUUUGCAACAUAUAAUCCCACCGUCCAUUAUUUUCCUGGAUUUUUCAAUAUGCAAUAGAAAUUAAAUGCAAUUUCUUCUCUUAGAAUUGUUAUAUUGUUAUUUCACAUAUGCUAAACCCGGUAUAUAUGUUUGUUCACUUUAAUAAUUCUAUGUGCUGCAUUCCACUACAAUGAUUAAAUGUAGCUAUUCAAUUUGUUUUAUACUCCAUUUCUCAAUACCUUACACUUUCUUUUUCGAUGUGUAACUCAACUACCAGGAGGCAAUGUAUUUCUCACCCUCUACCCGCCUUUUGAAAGUGUUUACCAAUUUGGGUAAGAAUAAUAGACAAAAGGCUUCAAACUGGGAUGGAUUGUUGAUGGUGUAGAGUGGAGUCGGAGACAGCAGAGCACGUGCUGCUGUUGCUGUGUAAUAAGAGCAAUCAAACUUGUCAAAGUCUGGACACGUGGAGACACAGAGCAUGCACUGCUGCUAAAUAGGAACAUUAAUUUCUAUCAUAAUUACAUCAAUUACUCAUUCUCAUCAUUGACAACUAGUACUGCAUAUAUCAAUGGAAAACAAUAUUUACCUUA